This is a non-coding RNA of Gossypium arboreum, 87 nucleotides long. The record is from Rfam. NCBI's taxonomy places the organism in Eukaryota, Viridiplantae, Streptophyta, Magnoliopsida, Malvales, Malvaceae.
CCUGAGGAAGCGCUUUGUCCACAUCAGCAGAAAACGCUUCCUUGAGGACGCGAUUUGUGCUGAUGUGGACAAAGCGCUUCCUCGGGG